RNAcentral lists this ribosomal RNA (306 nucleotides) under uncultured bacterium. RNAcentral describes it as "partial 16S ribosomal RNA". It matches the Rfam family "Bacterial small subunit ribosomal RNA", at positions 507 to 807 of the family's 1533-position model. The record is from RNAcentral.
GACAGCAGUCGCCGCGGUAAUACGUAGGUGGCAAGCGUUGUCCGGAAUUAUUGGGCGUAAAGGGCUCGCAGGCGGUUUCUUAAGUCUGAUGUGAAAGCCCCCGGCUCAACCGGGGAGGGUCAUUGGAAACUGGGAAACUUGAGUGCAGAAGAGGAGAGUGGAAUUCCACGUGCAGCGGUGAAAUGCGUAGAGAUGUGGAGGAACACCAGUGGCGAAGGCGACUCUCUGGUCUGUAACUGACGCUGAGGAGCGAAAGCGUGGGGAGCGAACAGGAUUAGAUACCCCCGUAGUCCCUGUCUCUUAUAC